RNAcentral lists this ribosomal RNA (485 nucleotides) under Yoshiicerus similis. RNAcentral's name for it is "Tomocerus similis partial 16S ribosomal RNA". It matches the Rfam family "Bacterial large subunit ribosomal RNA", at positions 1825 to 2610 of the family's 2925-position model. Lineage: Eukaryota; Metazoa; Arthropoda; Collembola; Entomobryomorpha; Tomoceridae. The record is from RNAcentral.
AACAUUUCUUAUAGAUUUUUUUGUAAGUAAAGCCUGCCCACUGUAUAAAUGAAGGGCCGCGGUAUUUUGACCGUGCAAAGGUAGCAUAAUCAUUAGUCUCUUAAUUGGGGAAUGGAAUGAAUGGUUUAAUGAUUUAUUUCUAUUUUUUUAUUUAUUAUUUGUAAAUUUGAUUUUAAGUGAAAAUACUUAGUUUUUUUAAAUAGACGAUAAGACCCUAUAGAGUUUUAUUAUUAUUGUUUUAAAGAAAGCAAUAAUAAUUUAAUUGGGGCAAUUCUAGAAUAUAUUUAAUUUCUAAGUGUUUCUAUUUAAAAAUAUCUUUGUUUAUAGUUUAAUAAAACUACCUUAGGGAUAACAGCGUAAUUUUUAUUAAGAGUUCUUAUCGACAUAAUAGAUUGCGACCUCGAUGUUGAAUUAAAUUUCUUUAUAAUAGAAGAAUUUUAUAAAAAGUAGUCUGUUCGACUAUUAAAUUUUUACAUGAUUUGAGU